This 498-nucleotide ribosomal RNA is filed under the name uncultured bacterium. RNAcentral's name for it is "partial 16S ribosomal RNA". It matches the Rfam family "Bacterial small subunit ribosomal RNA", at positions 28 to 523 of the family's 1533-position model. The record is from RNAcentral.
GAUGAACGCUGGCGGCAUGCUUUACACAUGCAAGUCGAACGGUAACGCGGGGCAACCUGGCGACGAGUGGCGAGCGGGUGAGUAAUGCAUCGGAACGUGCCCGGUAGUGGGGGAUAACUGCUCGAAAGAGCAGCUAAUACCGCAUACGACCUGAGGGUGAAAGGGGGGGAUCGCAAGACCUCUCGCUAUUGGAGCGGCCGAUGUCGGAUUAGCUAGUUGGUGGGGUAAGGGCCCACCAAGGCGACGAUCCGUAGCUGGUCUGAGAGGACGACCAGCCACACUGGGACUGAGACACGGCCCCGACUCCUACGGGAGGCAGCAGUGGGGAAUUGUGGACAAUGGACGCAAGUCUGAUCCAGCCAUGCCGCGUGCGGGAAGAAGGCCUUCGGGUUGUAAACCGCUUUUGUCAGAGAAGAAAUCUUCUGGGUUAAUACCUCGGGAGGAUGACGGUAUCUGAAGAAUAAGCACCGGCUAACUACGUGCCAGCAGCCGCAGUAA